Maylandia zebra (zebra mbuna) is the source of this 2641-nucleotide non-coding RNA. The record is from RefSeq and is a predicted model, not a curated record. Lineage: Eukaryota; Metazoa; Chordata; Actinopteri; Cichliformes; Cichlidae.
CGACAUUAAGGACGACGCACGGAGGAUAGACGCAGGGAAGUUUUUUUCCACUUUUUAGUAAUAGUAUUUUCUUUUAAACUUAUUUAUCGCGGGGGAUCUAUCGCAUAUAAAAUAUAAAACGUUUUAUUGUCGAAGAAGAAAGACUCACAACAACGCCAUGAGUGCUGGGACAUAUUUGGGUCUCUGCUUGAGUUUACUGGUCAUCCACGUCUCGUUGGGCUCUGCAGCUUCAGACCAGCAGAUCUUACGACAUCCUGGGAUGAGUGUCAAUCUGACAUUUCAGGUUCCCACUGACACCACAUCUGUAUGGCUAAAAAGACUUGAAAAAUAUAAAAACAAUGAUAAAUAUAUCUCCUACUGCCAAGACUCAACACCAACACGUCCCAGUGACCAGGAGGAGUCAAUCAAGGGUCGGGUGGAGGGGAUGGACUGUAGCAAUAUCAGCGGCACAGUCUCUGUAACAUUGAAGAACCUGACCAGCAACGACAGUGGGACAUACGAGCUUCAAGGGGUGGACCAUCGUGGAAGAUACUUUAAUAAAACGGUCUUCCUCAACGUUACUGACCCAGGUCAGACAGGAGGAGACACAGAGGAUGGAGGGAAGGAGGAUGGAGGGAAGGAGGAUGGAGCCAGUAGAGAACAUCCUGGGCUGGCAGUCAGUCUUUGUUUUGGUGUGGUUGUGUGUGGUUGUGUAUGUGCGCCAGCUGCUAUAAAGUGGCUUACAAAUUGCUGUAAAAAGAAUUCACCCUUUUCUCCUCCUUCUAAUAAUGAAUCUGACAGAGAAACAAAGCAAAUAACAUUAAUAAUCUGCAAAUAAUUCAGUAAUCUAACAAUUCUAAGUGAGACCACAAACACAUUCUUGUCCAAAGCUCAAAUUCUACAAAAACCUUUCCACUGCAAUAGAGUGGAGGGGAUUUUGAGUUUACUGCUUUAAAAACUGCAUCCUCACAGCAUAGAGAUCCGUGUGACAGAUACAGUUUGGUCGUUCUGUCUGUCCCUGCAUAUCUUCUCUCUGUGUACUCGAGCUUCCUCCCAGUCCAAAGGUUUGCAUGCUCGCCUAAAUAGCAGUCCUAUAUUGGCCAUAGACGUGUAUGUGAGUGUGAGGUUGUCUCUGUGUCGGAGUCUGAUGACUGGUGCCCCAUUUUUUACCUUAUGUCACCUGACAUAGCCCGUCCCCCCAACAUUUUUUCUUUAUGCAAUUUGAAAGAACCCAGUGCAUCUGAAUGAAAAGAAACAAUAGGAGUGAAGACAAGUCUCUAGCAAAGUGGGGUGACCACUACAUCUGAACCCACCAAAGUUCUGGGACGUCAGCAGAUGAGGAAGGCAAGCACAUGCCCCAACUGAGGGCGUCGACAGAUGGGGAAAUGCAAGUGGGCCCCAACCUGGGAUGUCUGCGGAUGGGGAAACGCAAGCGGGCCCCAACCUGGGAUGUCGGCGGAUGGGGAAACGCAAGCGGGCCCCAACCUGGGAUGUCGGCGGAUGGGGAAACGCAAGCGGGCCCCAACCUGGGAUGUCGGCGGAUGGGGAAACGCAAGCGGGCCCCAACCUGGGAUGUCGGCGGAUGGGGAAACGCAAGCGGGCCCCAACCUGGGAUGUCGGCGGAUGGGGAAACGCAAGCGGGCCCAACCUGGGAUUUCUGCGGAUGGGGAAACGCAAGCGGGCCCCAACCUGGGAUGUCGGCGGAUGGGGAAAUACAAGCGGGCCCCAACCUGCCCGUGUGGAAAACUUAAAUAAAUACCUAUUUUAAAUGCGUUGUGUAUUCGACUUAUCUGUUGUCGUAUGUUGAAAUGUUGGGCAUCAUGAUCCAAUCAAAAGAAUAUGCAGGGAAAAGUGAUUUAGAUAACUCCAAUGCCAAGAAAAAUCAAGGUAGCCAGCGUACCCUGCCUGGAACAUGGCUACCAGGGUCCUAACCUGGAGCCAAGCCUGGAGAGAGGCUCAAGGGCGAUGAUCAGUUGGCCCAGCCGGGCUCAAGCUGAAGAAGCUAUAUGGGUCAAUUCUUCUGUGGGACACUACUUUGGGAUUUGUGGAUCGGGCAGAGGUCCUGGUGCUCUGAUGCACACAUCUGCAGUGAUGUGGAUCGAUGAGCUUCUUUCAUAAAGGAGCUGGGCUCUCCCUUAGAGAUGGGGUGAGGAGCUUGGUCAAUUGAGAGUAAAGUUGCUGCUCCUUCACAUAAAAAGGAGCCCAUUAAGGUUUUUCCAGCCUUGUCCAACCAGAAGGAGGCCUCGGGUUUGACAGAGGAGAUUGUGUAUCAUGGCUAGAUUGCGAGUGACUGUGUGUCCCGCAUAUGAUCUGGAAGAAGUGGCUAGAUGCAACCACUCAAAUGUGUAAUUUCAUCUAGACUUAAAACAUGAACUGUGUGUGUGCAGUGGUUUAUGCUUGCUAGUAAACAAUGUUUGGAAAAGAAAAGGGUAAAACUACCUGUUUGUUUUUCAGUCUCUUUCAGAUCUGACAACAUCUAGAACAUGAAAUCAUGACAGUGAAGUUUGUAUGUAGUUAAAUCCUAGAACCUCAACAGGGCUAAAAUAAUGAAACAGGUUUCCUGAGGACGUGGGCUUCCAUGCAAACCAUGACACCAGAUGGGCCAGGUCAGCUUGGAGUGCAGAUCAACACAGCCCUGUCCUCCAGCACCAUCAGCAGCAGC